Molecule: long non-coding RNA, 336 nt
Filed under: Olea europaea (common olive)
Lineage: Eukaryota; Viridiplantae; Streptophyta; Magnoliopsida; Lamiales; Oleaceae
Description: long non-coding RNA (OEUR_LNC003819)
Source: RNAcentral
GCCACCAAUAUAUCAAUACCAUUAUAGCAAAAUUGUCACACUGAUACAUUGAUAACUACAAAUCGCCAAAUGGCACAAUCAUUCCUCAGCCAGUUAUCUAAGAGGAACUCAUUCAAGAAAAACCAUCAACAAACCAAUGAACACAAACUCUUUCCAUUAGUCUGUAUCUCAUACCUCAAAAACACACACAUUAGUUAGUGUUCUUGUAAUGAUUGAAGGUAUAUAUAACAUACUCUUUCCCAAUACAAAGACAAAUUACAUAAUGUUACCAGUCAAAAUUGAGACAUUUACAAAAUUUUCAGGCUCUAUCUAAGGUAAGUAGAAGCAACCCAANNN